Molecule: long non-coding RNA, 556 nt
Filed under: Zostera marina
Lineage: Eukaryota; Viridiplantae; Streptophyta; Magnoliopsida; Alismatales; Zosteraceae
Description: long non-coding RNA (ZMAR_LNC002924)
Source: RNAcentral
CCCUUUCAUCUGUUGUUACUUGUUACCAUAUUUUUAAAUAACAGAUAGUGGUGUAGCAGUCGCUAGUAGUAGUAUAUCGAUUUUGCGGUAUUAUAGCGGUUUAAAACUAUGAUUCAAACCUCUUCAAAAUUAAGAUAUAUAGUAUGGAACAUGAAAGUUCAAAUAGUAUAUGAGUAUCAAAAUAGCUGAUUUUAAUUUUCUAAGAUUGUGUCACAUCAUCAUCUUCUUCUGAUGGCGCUAGAUCCCGAAUCUCCCUCAUUAGAUAUUCACUAGUUGUCAAACACUCUUCAUUAUCCCUUCGUCGUAUUUGAUUCCUUGUUACACGACCAACAUGCUCAUCUAAUCCAGCAUUCCUUGCCACCGUCGACCAUAUCAAUCCUCUUCUCCAUAAACGAACUCGUUAGAGGCUCUCUGUAACAGCGAUGAUCGGCCGGCGGCAGAGAUCGGCGUUGUUGGACGGAGGGUUGGAACGCAAGGAGGAAUUUCCCCGAAGGGCCGAUGGGAAAAGAUAGAAAAUCCUGGAGGAUCCUAAGGUUGAAGAGAGAGUAGUUUGUUU